UGUGUUGUGUUUGUAGAUAAAAAACUAUCCAAAGUAAUUCACCGCUAACACAGAGAUGUCCAUCCCAGGAGUUGAUGCAUAGACUGUAAG
This is a long non-coding RNA of Etheostoma cragini (Arkansas darter), 90 nucleotides long. RefSeq lists it as uncharacterized. The record is from RefSeq and is a predicted model, not a curated record. The transcript is spliced from 3 exons. NCBI's taxonomy places the organism in Eukaryota, Metazoa, Chordata, Actinopteri, Perciformes, Percidae.